RNAcentral lists this ribosomal RNA (253 nucleotides) under uncultured bacterium. Its description in RNAcentral is "partial 16S ribosomal RNA". It matches the Rfam family "Bacterial small subunit ribosomal RNA", at positions 524 to 776 of the family's 1533-position model. The record is from RNAcentral. RNAcentral also lists the same sequence under 1 other name.
UACAGAGGUCUCGAGCGUUGUUCGGAUUCAUUGGGCGUAAAGGGUGCGUAGGCGGCGGGGUAAGUCAGGUGUGAAAUCCCGGAGCUCAACUCCGGAACUGCACUUGAUACUGCCUUGCUAGAGUACUGGAGAGGGAACUGGAAUUUACGGUGUAGCAGUGAAAUGCGUAGAUAUCGUAAGGAAGACCAGUGGCGAAGGCGAGUUCCUGGACAGUUACUGACGCUGAGGCACGAAGGCCAGGGGAGCAAACGGG